UGCCAGAUUCUCAGGAACCAACACCAGAUAUGGAAAAGAGACAGAAUUUGGAAAUGGAAGAUAUAAAGGGGAGAUUAAUUCCCUGAUUUUCAACUUUCUUCCCCAAAGACUUUGAGAAAUAUGCAAUUUCCUCUGAAGCAGUACAUUGCAUCAUUUUUUAUGGCAUGAUAUUCUAUUACAUUCACAGACCAUGAUUUAUCUACCCCAUAGAACUGCAGCAAAUGAGGAAGAAUCCGUGAGCAGAGAGAAGCUAUACAAACUCCUGCCAAGUGGAAUGGCACUAGCAAUGAUCAGAAGGAACUAUGAGAAGAGUGGAAGUGACCAGUCUGGACUCCAGGCCAAUAGAAAAGCA
Molecule: non-coding RNA, 352 nt
Organism: Phascolarctos cinereus (koala)
Lineage: Eukaryota; Metazoa; Chordata; Mammalia; Diprotodontia; Phascolarctidae
Source: RefSeq, a predicted model, not a curated record